RNAcentral lists this ribosomal RNA (376 nucleotides) under uncultured organism. RNAcentral's name for it is "partial 16S ribosomal RNA". It matches the Rfam family "Bacterial small subunit ribosomal RNA", at positions 526 to 896 of the family's 1533-position model. The record is from RNAcentral.
GUAGGGGUGCGAGCGUUUAAUCGGGAAUUACUGGGGCGUAAAGCGUGCGCAGGCGGUUCUAUAAGACAGAUGUGAAAUCCCCCGGGGGCUCAACCUGGGAAUGGCAUUUGUGACUGUAGAGCUAGAGUACGGUAGAGGGGGAUGGAAUUCCGCGUGUAGCAGUGAAAUGCGUAGAUAUGCGGAGGAACACCGAUGGCGAAGGCAAUCCCCUGGACCUGUACUGACGCUCAUGCACGAAAGCGUGGGGAGCAAACAGGAUUAGAUACCCUGGUAGUCCACGCCCUAAACGAUGUCAACUGGUUGUUGGGUGCAUUAGUACUCAGUAACGAAGCUAACGCGUGAAGUUGACCGCCUGGGGAGUACGGCCGCAAGGUUG